GUGCCAGCAGCCGCGGUAAUACGUAGGUGGCAAGCGUUAUCCGGAAUUAUUGGGCGUAAAGCGCGCGUAGGCGGUUUUUUAAGUCUGAUGUGAAAGCCCACGGCUCAACCGUGGAGGGUCAUUGGAAACUGGAAAACUUGAGUGCAGAAGAGGAAAGUGGAAUUCCAUGUGUAGCGGUGAAAUGCGCAGAGAUAUGGAGGAACACCAGUGGCGAAGGCGACUUUCUGGUCUGUAACUGACGCUGAUGUGCGAAAGCGUGGGGAUCAAACAGGAUUAGAUACCCUGGUAGUCAAGGGCG
This 298-nucleotide ribosomal RNA is filed under the name uncultured Staphylococcus sp. RNAcentral's name for it is "partial 16S ribosomal RNA". It matches the Rfam family "Bacterial small subunit ribosomal RNA", at positions 505 to 802 of the family's 1533-position model. Lineage: Bacteria; Bacillati; Bacillota; Bacilli; Caryophanales; Staphylococcaceae. The record is from RNAcentral.